RNAcentral lists this ribosomal RNA (165 nucleotides) under Amomum subulatum (hill cardamom). Its description in RNAcentral is "5.8S ribosomal RNA". The stretch from base 1 to 138 matches the Rfam family "5.8S ribosomal RNA", at positions 19 to 154 of the family's 154-position model. Rfam says of the family: 5.8S ribosomal RNA (5.8S rRNA) is a component of the large subunit of the eukaryotic ribosome. It is transcribed by RNA polymerase I as part of the 45S precursor that also contains 18S and 28S rRNA. Functionally, it is thought that 5.8S rRNA may be involved in ribosome translocation. Lineage: Eukaryota; Viridiplantae; Streptophyta; Magnoliopsida; Zingiberales; Zingiberaceae. The record is from RNAcentral.
UCUCGGCUCUUGCAUCGAUGAAGAACGUAGUGAAAUGCGAUACUUGGUGUGAAUUGCAGAAUCUCGUGAACCAUUGAGUCUUUGAACGCAAGUUGUGCCCGAGGCCUUGUGGCCGAGGGCACGCCUGCUUGGGCGUCAUGGCAUAGUCGCCUUUGCUCCUUGCUU